Molecule: unclassified non-coding RNA, 229 nt
Filed under: plant metagenome
Description: partial contains small subunit ribosomal RNA, internal transcribed spacer 1, and 5.8S ribosomal RNA
Source: RNAcentral
UCUCCGUAGGUGAACCUGCGGAGGGAUCAUUACAGAGUUCAUGCCCUAACGGGUAGAUCUCCCACCCUAUGUUAUCAUCACUUUGUUGCUUUGGCGGGCCGUCAGGCCUCGGCUUGGCUACCGGCUCUCGCUGGUAAGCGCCCGCCAGAGAACCCCAAACCCUGAAUAUCAGUGUCGUCUGAGUACUAUAUAAUAGUUAAAACUUUCAACAACGGAUCUCUUGGCUCUG